Molecule: ribosomal RNA, 351 nt
Filed under: uncultured bacterium
Lineage: Bacteria
Description: bacterial SSU rRNA
Rfam family: Bacterial small subunit ribosomal RNA
Source: RNAcentral
ACUCCUACGGGAGGCAGCAGUGGGGAAUAUUGCACAAUGGGCGCAAGCCUGAUGCAGCCAUGCCGCGUGUAUGAAGAAGGCCUUCGGGUUGUAAAGUACUUUCAGCAGUGAGGAAGGCGGGUACGUUAAUAGCGUGCUCGUUUGACGUUAGCUGCAGAAGAAGCACCGGCUAACUCCGUGCCAGCAGCCGCGGUAAUACGGAGGGUGCGAGCGUUAAUCGGAAUUACUGGGCGUAAAGCGCAUGCAGGUGGUUUGUUAAGUCAGAUGUGAAAGCCCGGGGCUCAACCUCGGAAUUGCAUUUGAAACUGGCAGACUAGAGUACUGUAGAGGGGGGUAGAAUUUCAGGUGUAG